RNAcentral lists this long non-coding RNA (212 nucleotides) under Elaeis guineensis (African oil palm). RNAcentral's name for it is "long non-coding RNA (EGUI_LNC003141)". Lineage: Eukaryota; Viridiplantae; Streptophyta; Magnoliopsida; Arecales; Arecaceae. The record is from RNAcentral.
AUCUUUGUCUUGGCUCAGUCUUGAUCUUUGCCUCAGUUCGGACUUAAGCUUUACUUUGGCUCAAAUUUGAGCUUGAUAACUUGGCCUCGGUCUUGAUUUUUGCCUCAGCUCGAUCUUGUUCUUUGCCUUAACUUAGACUUGAGCUUUGCCUUAUCUCGAACUUGAGCUUUACUUUAGCUUGGCUUCAGUCUUGAUCUUUAUCUCAGCACGGA